RNAcentral lists this ribosomal RNA (468 nucleotides) under uncultured bacterium. Its description in RNAcentral is "partial 16S ribosomal RNA". It matches the Rfam family "Bacterial small subunit ribosomal RNA", at positions 28 to 507 of the family's 1533-position model. The record is from RNAcentral.
GACGAACGCUGGCGGCGUGCUUAACACAUGCAAGUCGAACGGAAAGGCCCUGCUUUUGUGGGGUGCUCGAGUGGCGAACGGGUGAGUAACACGUGAGUAACCUGCCCUUGACUUUGGGAUAACUUCAGGAAACUGGGGCUAAUACCGGAUAGGAGCUCCUGCUGCAUGGUGGGGGUUGGAAAGUUUCGGCGGUUGGGGAUGGACUCGCGGCUUAUCAGCUUGUUGGUGGGGUAGUGGCUUACCAAGGCUUUAACGGGUAGCCGGCCUGGGAGGGUGACCGGCCACAUUGGGACUGAGAUACGGCCCAGACUCCUACGGGAGGCAGCAGUGGGGAAUAUUGCACAAUGGGCGGAAGCCUGAUGCAGCAACGCCGCGUGCGGGAUGACGGCCUUCGGGUUGUAAACCGCUUUCGCCUGUGACGAAGCGUGAGUGACGGUAAUGGGUAAAGAAGCACCGGCUAACUACGUG